ACGAACGCUGGCGGCGUGCUUAACACAUGCAAGUCGAGCGAUGAGAUCCCUUCGGGGAUGGAUUAGCGGCGAACGGGUGAGGAACACGUGAGGAAUCUGCCUUCUACUCUGGGAUAACUCCGGGAAACCGGGGCUAAUACCGGAUAUGAAACUUGGUGGCAUCACCGAGUUUGGAAAGUUUUUCGGUAGAAGAUGACCUCGCGGCCUAUCAGCUUGUUGGUGAGGUAAUGGCUCACCAAGGCGACGACGGGUAGCCGGCCUGAGAGGGUGACCGGCCACACUGGGACUGAGACACGGCCCAGACUCCUACGGGAGGCAGCAGUGGGGAAUAUUGCACAAUGGGCGGAAGCCUGAUGCAGCGACGCCGCGUGAGGGAUGAAGGCCUUCGGGUUGUAAACCUCUUUCAGCAGGGACGAAGCGUGAGUGACGGUACCUGCAGAAGAAGCACCGGCUAACUACGU
RNAcentral lists this ribosomal RNA (461 nucleotides) under uncultured bacterium. RNAcentral's name for it is "bacterial SSU rRNA". It matches the Rfam family "Bacterial small subunit ribosomal RNA", at positions 29 to 506 of the family's 1533-position model. The record is from RNAcentral.